AUUGAACGCUGGCGGCAGGCCUAACACAUGCAAGUCGAGCGGGGUGAUGGUGCUUGCACUAUCACUUAGCGGCGGACGGGUGAGUAAUGCUUAGGAAUCUGCCUAUUAGUGGGGACAACAUCUCGACAGGGAUGCUAAUACCGCAUACGUCCUACGGGAGAAAGCAGGGGAUCACUUGUGACCUUGCGCUAAUAGAUGAGCCUAAGUCGGAUUAGCUAGGUGGUGGGGUAAAGGCCUACCAAGGCGACGAUCUGUAGCGGGUCUGAGAGGAUGAUCCGCCACACUGGGACUGAGACACGGCCCAGACUCCGACGGGAGGCAGCAGUGGGGACUAUUGGACAAUGGGGGGAACCCUGAUCCAGCCAUGCCGCGUGUGUGAAGAAGGCCUUAUGGUUGUAAAGCACUUUAAGCGAGGAGGAGGCUCUUUUGGUUAAUACCCAAGAUGAGUGGACGUUACUCGCAGAAUAAGCACCGGCUAACUCUGUGCCAGCAGCCGCCGUAA
This 502-nucleotide ribosomal RNA is filed under the name uncultured bacterium. RNAcentral describes it as "partial 16S ribosomal RNA". It matches the Rfam family "Bacterial small subunit ribosomal RNA", at positions 30 to 523 of the family's 1533-position model. The record is from RNAcentral.